UACAGAGGUCCCGAGCGUUGUUCGGAUUCACUGGGCGUAAAGGGUGCGUAGGUGGCGAGGUAAGUCGGAUGUGAAAUCUCGGAGCUCAACUCCGAAAUGGCAUUGGAAACUACCUUGCUCGAGGGUUGGAGGGGGGACUGGAAUACUUGGUGUAGCAGUGAAAUGCGUAGAUAUCAAGUGGAACACCAGUGGCGAAGGCGAGUCCCUGGACAACUCCUGACACUGAGGCACGAAAGCUAGGGGAGCAAACAGGAUUAGAAACCCAGUAGUCC
RNAcentral lists this ribosomal RNA (272 nucleotides) under uncultured prokaryote. Its description in RNAcentral is "partial 16S ribosomal RNA". It matches the Rfam family "Bacterial small subunit ribosomal RNA", at positions 524 to 796 of the family's 1533-position model. The record is from RNAcentral.